UAGCGUUUGAUCAUGGCUCAGAACGAACGCUGGCGGCGUGGAUAAGACAUGCAAGUCGAGCGACUAUUACGGGGUAGCNNNNUUCCGUGGUGGGAGCGGCGCAAGGGUGCGUAACACGUGGGUAAUCUGCCAUGAAGUUUGGGAUAACCCCGAGAAAUCGGGGCUAAUACUGGAUGUGACUGUCUGGGGGCCUCCCUGGGUGGUUAAAGUUGGGGACCGCAAGGCCUGACGCUUCAUGAUGAGCCCGCGGCCUAUCAGCUAGUUGGUGAGGUAACGGCUCACCAAGGCUAAGACGGGUAGCUGGUCUGAGAGGACGACCAGCCACACUGGAACUGAGACACGGUCCAGACACCUACGGGUGGCAGCAGUCGAGAAUUUUUCACAAUGGGCGCAAGCCUGAUGGAGCGACGCCGCGUGGGGGAUGAAUGGCUUCGGCCCGUAAACCCCUGUCAUUUGCGAGCAAGGCGCAUUAUUUAAAAGAUGAUGUGUUGAUAGUAGCGGAAGAGGAAGGGACGGCUAACUCUGUGCCAGCAGCCGCGGUAAUACAGAGGUCCCGAGCGUUGUUCGGAUUCACUGGGCGUAAAGGGUGCGUAGGUGGUGAGGUAAGUCGGAUGUGAAAUACUGGAGCUUAACUCCGGAACGGCAUUGGAAACUACCUUGCUGGAGGGUUGGAGGGGGGACUGGAAUUCUCGGUGUAGCAGUGAAAUGCGUAGAUAUCGAGAGGAACACC
This 730-nucleotide ribosomal RNA is filed under the name uncultured Verrucomicrobia subdivision 3 bacterium. Its description in RNAcentral is "bacterial SSU rRNA". It matches the Rfam family "Bacterial small subunit ribosomal RNA", at positions 1 to 710 of the family's 1533-position model. Lineage: Bacteria; Pseudomonadati; Verrucomicrobiota; Verrucomicrobiia; Limisphaerales. The record is from RNAcentral.